RNAcentral lists this ribosomal RNA (510 nucleotides) under Lactobacillus amylovorus. Its description in RNAcentral is "bacterial SSU rRNA". It matches the Rfam family "Bacterial small subunit ribosomal RNA", at positions 49 to 526 of the family's 1533-position model. Lineage: Bacteria; Bacillati; Bacillota; Bacilli; Lactobacillales; Lactobacillaceae. The record is from RNAcentral.
UAAUACAUGCAAGUCGAGCGAGCGGAACCAACAGAUUUACUUCGGUAAUGACGUUGGGAAAGCGAGCGGCGGAUGGGUGAGUAACACGUGGGGAACCUGCCCCUAAGUCUGGGAUACCAUUUGGAAACAGGUGCUAAUACCGGAUAAUAAAGCAGAUCGCAUGAUCAGCUUUUGAAAGGCGGCGUAAGCUGUCGCUAAGGGAUGGCCCCGCGGUGCAUUAGCUAGUUGGUAAGGUAACGGCUUACCAAGGCGACGAUGCAUAGCCGAGUUGAGAGACUGAUCGGCCACAUUGGGACUGAGACACGGCCCAAACUCCUACGGGAGGCAGCAGUAGGGAAUCUUCCACAAUGGACGCAAGUCUGAUGGAGCAACGCCGCGUGAGUGAAGAAGGUUUUCGGAUCGUAAAGCUCUGUUGUUGGUGAAGAAGGAUAGAGGUAGUAACUGGCCUUUAUUUGACGGUAAUCAACCAGAAAGUCACGGCUAACUACGUGCCAGCAGCCGCGGUAAUAC